This 268-nucleotide ribosomal RNA is filed under the name uncultured bacterium. Its description in RNAcentral is "partial 16S ribosomal RNA". It matches the Rfam family "Bacterial small subunit ribosomal RNA", at positions 525 to 796 of the family's 1533-position model. The record is from RNAcentral.
ACGGGGGUAGGGUGUGUUGAUUGAUCUGGGCGUAAAGCGCACGUAGGCGGAUCAGAAAGUUGGGGGUGAAAUCCCGGGGCUCAACCCCGGAACUGCCUCCAAAACUCCUGGUCUUGAGUUCGAGAGAGGUGAGUGGAAUUCCGAGUGUAGAGGUGAAAUUCGUAGAUAUUCGGAGGAACACCAGUGGCGAAGGCGGCUCACUGGCUCGAUACUGACGCUGAGGUGCGAAAGUGUGGGGAGCAAACAGGAUUAGAUACCCCUGUAGUCC